This 468-nucleotide ribosomal RNA is filed under the name uncultured bacterium. RNAcentral's name for it is "partial 16S ribosomal RNA". It matches the Rfam family "Bacterial small subunit ribosomal RNA", at positions 28 to 507 of the family's 1533-position model. The record is from RNAcentral.
GACGAACGCUGGCGGCGUGCUUAACACAUGCAAGUCGAACGGAAAGGCCCUGCUUUUGUGGGGUGCUCGAGUGGCGAACGGGUGAGUAACACGUGAGUAACCUGCCCUUGACUUUGGGAUAACUUCAGGAAACUGGGGCUAAUACCGGCUAGGAGCUCCUGCUGCAUGGUGGGGGUUGGAAAGUUUCGGCGGUUGGGGAUGGACUCGCGGCCUAUCAGCUUGUUGGUGGGGUAGUGGCUUACCAAGGCUUUGACGGGUAGCCGGCCUGAGAGGGUGACCGGCCACAUUGGGCCUGAGAUACGGCCCAGACUCCUACGGGAGGCAGCAGUGGGGAAUAUUGCACAAUGGGCGGAAGCCUGAUGCAGCAACGCCGCGUGCGGGAUGACGGCCUGCGGGUUGUAAACCGCUUUCGCCUGUGACGAAGCGUGAGUGACGGUAAUGGGUAAAGAAGCACCGGCUAACUACGUG